AUCCACGGACGUCUCGAUGGCGCGCGUGAAAUUUUCAAAUAUACUUUUUCUUUUUUUUUUCGCUACCGUACUUGCGGGUAAUCGCGAACAACGCGAGAAUGAGACGUGGUAACAUAAUACGCGUUAGGUUUGGCUAGUAAGUUUCCUAAUUGUGCAUUCGUUUUUAGAUAUUUGUGCGUGUUAUCUAUAGUGUUUGAUUUGAGACGUACCUGUAGGGCUUAGGCUAUUAAACAGAACGUUUUGCUUUGAGUUAUUCGUAUUUUGAUUUUUACGCGGUACACCACAAUAUUAUAGAGGUUUAGUGCAACGUAGAAUUCAUUUUACGUUUAGGAAUUAAACGCAUUUUAGUUUAAGUUCGGCGAUCUGCAUAAUAUGGUGGGCCUGAAUCGGCCACAGUCAAUAUUUUAUCGAAGUGACGGUGUAGUGACUCCGAAGUAUUUUGAAUUUUGACACAAGGCUCUAUAUAGGUAUGAGGCUGAAGAUGAUUAGAUGCGAUAAUUGGAUCUCUAUGCACCGAGAAAAUCGUUGUAUUGUUGGCCUAUUUAGCGACAAAACUACAAAAGUAUAAGGAGAAGGUUGAUUCGCUGUUAAAUUGUUAAAUACGAGUGAUGAUUUUGUAAUUACGCCUCGCUUACAUUAUAGAAAUGGCAGAAACGAUAUCAUUGUAUGGUUAUUAAGAAAACAAGUGUUCAUAUGUAGCUGAAUUGACGUGAACGGCUAAUACUACUUGUAAAAGGGAGUACACAUGUGAAUAGAGGGAUUUAUCCAAAAAUAAUCAAUAAUAUAAGUAAAGUUAAUGGCUGUUAACCACAGUAUGAUAAUAUUAAGCAGUAGCAGUUCUUGCUGGCUGCUUUCAUUCCAUCAAAAUUCCCUAUCGCAUUUAUAAAAAAAAAUUAAGUAUAUAUUAAUAUUAUUUUAUAAAAUUAGAAUAAAUUUGCCAACGUUAAUAUAUGUAUGUAAAGAUUCAAACUUUGGUCUACUCCGUCACAUUGUUAUAUAUAAUAUAUACCUACCUAAAGAUACGACCAAUCAAUUUUAAUUUUUAAGAAAGUCAAAUAAACUAGUUUAUAAUGUUUAAAUUUUAUAAGUAUGUUUAAUACAAUAUUAUUCAUUGGUAUAAGUUAAUUUACGUUUGCUUUUACAUUUACAUAAAGUGUAGUAAAUUUAAUUUAUUUAAUUUCAACUUUGGUAAUUGUUUUAUGUACUUAUUUAUGAGAUAAAAUGAUAAAACUAAAAUUAUUGUGUGAUAUUUUUGAUAAAUUAUAUAUUUCUUAUUUUUCCGAGUGAUUAAAAAAUAUAUGGGAAUUAUUUUACGACGAAAACUUUAUGACCAAAAAACUGGACAAAUAUUGAUGUAUCUUUUUGACUUUAUAAUAAUAAAUAAAUUAUAAAAGUACACUUAUUUUAAUACUCCAUU
Aphis gossypii (cotton aphid) is the source of this 1417-nucleotide long non-coding RNA. RefSeq lists it as uncharacterized. NCBI's taxonomy places the organism in Eukaryota, Metazoa, Arthropoda, Insecta, Hemiptera, Aphididae. The transcript has 3 exons. The record is from RefSeq and is a predicted model, not a curated record.